This 36-nucleotide transfer RNA is filed under the name Hypseocharis bilobata. RNAcentral describes it as "partial tRNA-Arg". Lineage: Eukaryota; Viridiplantae; Streptophyta; Magnoliopsida; Geraniales; Geraniaceae. The record is from RNAcentral.
GGGCCUGUAGCUCAGAGGAUUAGAGCACGUGGCUAC